Quercus robur (English oak) is the source of this 1072-nucleotide long non-coding RNA. RefSeq lists it as uncharacterized. The record is from RefSeq and is a predicted model, not a curated record. The transcript has 4 exons. NCBI's taxonomy places the organism in Eukaryota, Viridiplantae, Streptophyta, Magnoliopsida, Fagales, Fagaceae.
UCUUUAUUUAGGUGGGUAACGUUGAAUCUGACAUCAACAUAUAAGGGCAUGGUAGAACCGCAGAAAAAACUUUGUUGGAAGCUUCAAGCUACAUAGGAUAUCCCUUGAAGCGGCCUCGUUUCAGUGAUCAUCUAGAGGCAAUCAAGUUCAUCUGCAAGGACUUCUGCUCUGAGCUCUUCAAGAAGCAAAUAGACAACUUGAAGACCAAUCAUAGAGGUACGUUUGUCUUGCAAGAUAAUCGAUUUCGUUGGCUUGCAUGAAUGUCAGUCGAUCCAUCGCCUGAAAAUGGAGAUUUAUCUCAAUAUAAUUAUAUUCCUCCAGCUGAAAACAAGGCAGCACAAGCUACCAGCAUGCAUCUAAUUUCCCAUGUGGAAUCAUAAGGGGUGCUCGUUUAAAUUUCAGAAUUCCUCGUGCAGUUACUGCAGAUAUAUCCAACCUUCCUGCAUGUGACUAUGUAUAUUAUGAAGAUUGACGAAUAAUUGUUUGGGAAUGCGAGAAUCUGAAAAGUUUGUUUCCAGCUUCUGUGGCUAGAUUUCUCAUGCAAUUGAAUAAUUGUUUGGGAAUGCGAGAAUUUGAAAAUUUUGUUUCCAGCUUCUGUGGCUAGAUUUCUCAUGCAAUUGGAGGAUCUUCGGAUGGUCGAAUGUGGAAUGGAGGAAGUUGGUGCACUUGAAGAUGGUGCAGAAGCAGCAGCAAGACUUGUGUUCCCAUAAGUAACUCUCCUGAUGCCUAAGAAAUUGCCCAAACUCAAGUGGUUUUCUCUAGGGGUGCAUACUUCAAAAUGGCCAUUGUUGAAAGUAUUGGAGUUGAUUAAAUGUGAUGAAAUUGAGAUAUUUGUUUCAAAAUAUUUGAAAGUUGAAGAAACAGUUGAACAAAGCCAAGGCUUAAUUAUUUCAUUCAAAUCACAAGACUGAUUACAAUGACUUACAUUCAAGUACUUAUAUUAACUGUUUGGAACUUGCAGCCUCAGCCUUUUAAGAGUCCUAAUCCUAUUAAGUACAGCCUCUACAAUUAUCCAAAAGUCUACUGAUUUAGUUACAAGAGAUUAGGAUAGGCUUAGGCUGCGGGAUUCCUG